This 492-nucleotide ribosomal RNA is filed under the name uncultured bacterium. RNAcentral describes it as "partial 16S ribosomal RNA". It matches the Rfam family "Bacterial small subunit ribosomal RNA", at positions 29 to 507 of the family's 1533-position model. The record is from RNAcentral.
AGUGAACGCUGGCGGUAGGCCUAACACAUGCAAGUCGAACGGCAGCACAGUAAGAGCUUGCUCUUACGGGUGGCGAGUGGCGGACGGGUGAGGAAUACAUCGGAAUCUACUUUUUCGUGGGGGAUAACGUAGGGAAACUUACGCUAAUACCGCAUACGACCUACGGUUGAAAGCAGGGGAUCUUCGGACCUUGCGCGAUUGAAUGAGCCGAUGUCGGAUUAGCUAGUUGGCGGGGUAAAGGCCCACCAAGGCGACGAUCCGUAGCUGGUCUGAGAGAAUGAUAAGCCACACUGGAACUGAGACACGGUCCAGACUCCUACGGGAGGCAGCAGUGGGGAAUAUUGGACAAUGGGCGCAAGCCUGAUCCAGCCAUACCGCGUGGGUGAAGAAGGCCUUCGGGUUGUAAAGACCUUUUGUUGGGAAAGAAAAGCAGCAGGUUAAUACCCCGCUGUUCUGACGGUACCCAAAGAAUAAGCACCGGCUAACUUCGUG